RNAcentral lists this ribosomal RNA (511 nucleotides) under uncultured rumen archaeon. Its description in RNAcentral is "bacterial SSU rRNA". It matches the Rfam family "Archaeal small subunit ribosomal RNA", at positions 134 to 650 of the family's 1478-position model. The record is from RNAcentral.
GGGAAACUGAGAAUAAUACCGGAUAGUCCACCACGCCUGGAACGGUGGGUGGAUCAAAGGUCACGGCACAGGAUGGGUCUGCGGCGUAUCAGGUUGUAGGGGGUGUAAAGGACCCCCUAGCCAUUGACGCGUACGGGUUGUGGGAGCAAUCGCCCGGAGAUGGAUUCUGAGACACGAAUCCAGACCCUACGGGGUGCAGCAGGCGCGAAAACUUCACACUGCAGGAAACUGUGAUGAGGGAACUCCAAGUGCAUGCACAAUGUGCAUGCUUUUCCUUACUUUUAAUCGGUUUGGGAAUAAGGGCUGGGAAAGACCGGUGCCAGCCGCCGCGGUAAUACCGGCAGCUCAAGUGGUCGUCGCUUUUAUUGGGCCUAAAACGUCCGUAGCCUGUUUGGUAAAUCUGUGGGUAAAUCAACCAGCUCAACUGGUUGAAUUCUGCAGAGACUGCCAGACUAAGGACCGGGAGAGGUGUGGGGUACUCUCGGCGUUAGGGUAAAAUCCUGUCAUCCUG